RNAcentral lists this ribosomal RNA (632 nucleotides) under Filamoeba nolandi. RNAcentral's name for it is "partial Bacterial large subunit ribosomal RNA". It matches the Rfam family "Bacterial large subunit ribosomal RNA", at positions 13 to 695 of the family's 2925-position model. Lineage: Eukaryota; Evosea; Variosea. The record is from RNAcentral.
GAAGCGCAUACGGUGGAUGCCUUGGCAGUCAGAGGCGAUGAAAGACGUGGUAGCCUGCGAAAAGCUUUGGGGAGUCGGCAAACAGACUGUGAUCCAGAGAUCUCUGAAUGGGGGAACCCAGCCAGCACAAGCUGGUUAUCUUGUACUGAAUACAUAGGUGCAAGAGGCGAACCAGGGGAACUGAAACAUCUAAGUACCCUGAGGAAAAGAAAUCAACCGAGAUUCCCUUAGUAGUGGCGAGCGAACGGGGACCAGCCCUUAAGUUGGUUUGAGAUUAGUGGAACGCUCUGGAAAGUGCGGCCAUAGUGGGUGAUAGCCCCGUACACGAAAAUCUCUUAUCAAUGAAAUCGAGUAGGACGGAGCACGAGAAACUUUGUCUGAAUAUGGGGGGACCAUCCUCCAAGGCUAAAUACUACUGACUGACCGAUAGUGAACUAGUACCGUGAGGGAAAGGCGAAAAGAACCCCGGAGAGGGGAGUGAAAUAGAUCCUGAAACCGUAUGCGUACAAGCAGUGGGAGCCUACUUUGUUAGGUGACUGCGUACCUUUUGUAUAAUGGGUCAGCGACUUAUAUUCAGUGGCGAGCUUAACCGAAUAGGGGAGGCGUAGCGAAAGCGAGUCUUAAUAGGGCGU